CAGUCGCCGCGGGAAUACAGAGGGUGCAAGCGUUAAUCGGAAUUACUGGGCGUAAAGCGCGCGUAGGUGGUUUGUUAAGUUGGAUGUGAAAUCCCCGGGCUCAACCUGGGAACUGCAUCCAAAACUGGCGAGCUAGAGUAUGGUAGAGGGUGGUGGAAUUUCCUGUGUAGCGGUGAAAUGCGUAGAUAUAGGAAGGAACAUCAGUGGCGAAGGCGACCACCUGGACUGAUACUGACACUGAGGUGCGAAAGCGUGGGGAGCAAACAGGAUUAGAUACCCCUGUAGUCCCUGUCUCUUAUAC
This 301-nucleotide ribosomal RNA is filed under the name uncultured bacterium. RNAcentral describes it as "partial 16S ribosomal RNA". It matches the Rfam family "Bacterial small subunit ribosomal RNA", at positions 509 to 807 of the family's 1533-position model. The record is from RNAcentral.